AAUUUACCAGUGACAAGGUUACAGGCUUGUUAUGGCACCGUGGCCUGGAGCCCAGGGCUCCCCGGGACCUUGGGGAGGGGGGCUGGGAGGAGGGACGGGAGCACACAAUGGUAGGAAAUGCGCUGGGUAGGAGUCAGCUCUUCCUCCUGGCUCAGGCCUUCUCCGCAGGUCUGCAAAACCGACUUUCCAAGCCACUUGUCCAUCUCUGGGCUUGGGGCAUAGUUCUACUUAAUUCAGUUUAGCUUUUUCCCCCCAUUGAGUUCAGCAUUUUCUCCCACUCUACUUUCAGAUAUUUGGGGGGGGGUGCUUUCACAACUAGCCCAAUUGUUUCACAAUCACAAUGCAGCUUUGUGAGGCUGGACUAACCGGGACAUCUGACACAGGCGAGGAACUUUAGGACCUUGUUUUCUUUGCCUGGCAGCAGGCCUGUCAGGCUAAGGCUGGAUUCCUACCUUUGCUUUGGGACACAGUGCCCCACCUAGCUCUGGUCUUCUUGGGGAAGGAUGUGAGGACCACCCCCCCCCCAACGAUGCAUGCCAAAUGAAGACUGAGUGCAGUGUCCAGGCACUGAGAGGUGGGGGUGCUGGGGCUUCUCUAUGAGAGGAGAUGGUGGAAACCUCUUGUGGAUGCGGGGGUCCUGGCAGAAAGUGGAUGCCUGGUGCCGAGUGGGCACACAGGAUGGUCUGUGCUGGAAACGGAAAGGAUGAAACAAACCCCUAUUUUGCCACCUCCAUUGAAGCGACUCUGAGCCUACGUGAGUUCAAGUGACAGGCCAUUGUAAAAUGCUUAGAAUCAAAGGACUCAUCAAGCUGGAAAGGAUCAGAGAGGUUAUUCUGAGGAGUAAACUGAGGCCAAGAGAGCAAGAAGAGUUCAUACAAAGAGGACCUUGUACACGUACCCAUCCUACCUCCCGUGGACCUAGAAUGUCACGUGUCCUUGAGCCCUACGGGUCAUUUGGUUCCAAUUUCCCAUUCACACAAGCGUCACGAGUUACUGGACUUCUCCAGGACAGGGACAGAGGGACUCUGCGCUCCUGAGUCCGAUCUGCCCACACAGAGCCCACCUCCCCCCGUGGAAGGCCUCGGUGGGGGGGGACCCUGAGAAGGCAGCAUAUAGGAGAGAACCCAGAACUGUGAAAUGCGAAGCAAGGGCACCUUACACUCCUGCGUUCCUCCUUGCAAAUGCUUGGCAACUGCUAAUCAUUCAUUUGGUUACUAAUUAUACCCUGUACUAUGACCCCUCAGCCUCUUCUGUUUGGAACCUUACUUACACCUUUUAUUGUUGAUUGACUUUCCUGUGCUGAGCCAAUAAAAGCCUGCACAGGCCUUACAGACAAUGAACUUAGGCCUUGAUACUGUCUCCCCUCUCCACUCCCAAGCCCAGCACUUCUGCCACCCUGCCCCCUGCCAGUCACACCCUAUCUACUACCUGGCUUUAUAGGUACCAGGCACUCGAUAAAUGGUUGUCUUUUAAAAGCACUGAGCUUCCAGCAGAUAUGUGGAGAUGUGGCUGCUGAUGCAUGAUGACAGAGAAGAGCUGGACAACAGAGCGAGCGGCGUGUGUCCAGCCCGGUUUCCACUCUUGGAUCCACAAACCAGCCUGUGACAUUGAAGUGCUUUUCCAUCUCUGGGC
Molecule: long non-coding RNA, 1632 nt
Filed under: Fukomys damarensis (Damara mole-rat)
Lineage: Eukaryota; Metazoa; Chordata; Mammalia; Rodentia; Bathyergidae
Description: lncRNA (ENSFDAG00000031199.1)
Source: RNAcentral